AGAGUUUGAUCCUGGCUCAGGAUGAACGCUGGCGGCGUGCCUAAUACAUGCAAGUCGAGCGAACAGACGAGGAGCUUGCUCCUUUGAUGUUAGCGGCGGACGGGUGAGUAACACGUAGGUAACCUACCUAUAAGACUGGGAUAACUUCGGGAAACCGGAGCUAAUACCGGAUAAUAUUUCGAACCGCAUGGUUCGAUAGUGAAAGAUGGCUUUGCUAUCACUUAUAGAUGGACCUGCGCCGUAUUAGCUAGUUGGUAAGGUAACGGCUUACCAAGGCAACGAUACGUAGCCGACCUGAGAGGGUGAUCGGCCACACUGGAACUGAGACACGGUCCAGACUCCUACGGGAGGCGGCAGUAGGGAAUCUUCCGCAAUGGGCGAAAGCCUGACGGAGCAACGCCGCGUGAGUGAUGAAGGUCUUCGGAUCGUAAAACUCUGUUAUUAGGGAAGAACAAACGUGUAAGUAACUGUGCACGUCUUGACGGUACCUAAUCAGAAAGCCACGGCUAACUACGUGCCAGCAGCCGCGGUAAUACGUAGGUGGCAAGCGUUAUCCGGAAUUAUUGGGCGUAAAGCGCGCGUAGGCGGUUUUUUAAGUCUGAUGUGAAAGCCCACGGCUCAACCGUGGAGGGUCAUUGGAAACUGGAAAACUUGAGUGCAGAAGAGGAAAGUGGAAUUCCAUGUGUAGCGGUGAAUUGCGCAGAGAUAUGGAGGAACACCAGUGGCGAAGGCGACUUUUCUGGUCUGUAACUGACGCUGAUGUGCGAAAGCGUGGGGAUCAACAGGAUUAAUUCCCUGGUAGUCCACGCC
Molecule: ribosomal RNA, 810 nt
Filed under: uncultured bacterium
Lineage: Bacteria
Description: bacterial SSU rRNA
Rfam family: Bacterial small subunit ribosomal RNA
Source: RNAcentral